GACCUGAACUCGGACGUGAACACCCGCUGAACUUAAGCAUAU
Molecule: ribosomal RNA, 42 nt
Filed under: Globodera rostochiensis
Lineage: Eukaryota; Metazoa; Nematoda; Chromadorea; Rhabditida; Heteroderidae
Description: partial 28S ribosomal RNA
Source: RNAcentral